GGAGGGGUGGCCGAGUCUGGCUGAAGGCGGGUGACUUGAAAUCACCUGAGGGUCUAACCAGCCCUCCGGGGGUUCAAAUCCCUCCCCCUCCGCCA
Molecule: transfer RNA, 95 nt
Filed under: Desulfurobacterium thermolithotrophum DSM 11699
Lineage: Bacteria; Pseudomonadati; Aquificota; Aquificia; Desulfurobacteriales; Desulfurobacteriaceae
Description: tRNA-Ser (TGA) (tRNA-Ser-TGA-1-1)
Rfam family: tRNA
About the family: Transfer RNA (tRNA) molecules are approximately 80 nucleotides in length.
Source: RNAcentral